Molecule: ribosomal RNA, 651 nt
Filed under: Staphylococcus aureus
Lineage: Bacteria; Bacillati; Bacillota; Bacilli; Caryophanales; Staphylococcaceae
Description: partial 23S ribosomal RNA
Rfam family: Bacterial large subunit ribosomal RNA
Source: RNAcentral
GGUGAAAAGCACCCCGGAAGGGGAGUGAAAUAGAACCUGAAACCGUGUGCUUACAAGUAGUCAGAGCCCGUUAAUGGGUGAUGGCGUGCCUUUUGUAGAAUGAACCGGCGAGUUACGAUUUGAUGCAAGGUUAAGCAGUAAAUGUGGAGCCGUAGCGAAAGCGAGUCUGAAUAGGGCGUUUAGUAUUUGGUCGUAGACCCGAAACCAGGUGAUCUACCCUUGGUCAGGUUGAAGUUCAGGUAACACUGAAUGGAGGACCGAACCGACUUACGUUGAAAAGUGAGCGGAUGAACUGAGGGUAGCGGAGAAAUUCCAAUCGAACCUGGAGAUAGCUGGUUCUCUCCGAAAUAGCUUUAGGGCUAGCCUCAAGUGAUGAUUAUUGGAGGUAGAGCACUGUUUGGACGAGGGGCCCCUCUCGGGUUACCGAAUUCAGACAAACUCCGAAUGCCAAUUAAUUUAACUUGGGAGUCAGAACAUGGGUGAUAAGGUCCGUGUUCGAAAGGGAAACAGCCCAGACCACCAGCUAAGGUCCCAAAAUAUAUGUUAAGUGGAAAAGGAUGUGGCGUUGCCCAGACAACUAGGAUGUUGGCUUAGAAGCAGCCAUCAUUUAAAGAGUGCGUAAUAGCUCACUAGUCGAGUGACACUGCGCCG